CCUACGGUGUGCAGCAGUGAGGCAUAUUGGUCAAUGGACGGAAGUCUGAACCAGCCAUGCCGCGUGCAGGAAGACGGCUCUAUGAGUUGUAAACUGCUUUUGUACAAGGGUAAACCUGAAUACGUGUAUUCAGCUGAAAGUACUGUACGAAUAAGGAUCGGCUAACUCCGUGCCAGCACCCGCGGUAAUACGGAGGAUCCAAGCGUUCUCCGGAUUUAUUGGGUUUAAAGGGUGCGUAGGCGGAUUGAUAAGUUAGAGGUGAAAUGUCAAAGCUUAACUCUGGAACUGCCUCUCAUACUGUUGAUCUAGAGAGUAGAAGCGGUAGGCGGAAUGUAGGGUGUAGCGGUGAAAUGCUUAGAGAUCAUACAGAACACCGAUUGCGAAGGCAGCUUACCAAUCUGUAUCUGACGUUGAGGCACGAAAGCGUGGGGAGCAAACAGGAUUAGAUACCCGUGUAGUC
This 460-nucleotide ribosomal RNA is filed under the name uncultured bacterium. RNAcentral's name for it is "partial 16S ribosomal RNA". It matches the Rfam family "Bacterial small subunit ribosomal RNA", at positions 338 to 795 of the family's 1533-position model. The record is from RNAcentral.